AAUAUUGCGCCGGCUGAACGGAUAACUCUGAUGAAGUUAAUUAUGACCUUACUUAUGUCCAAUAUUU
Molecule: transfer RNA, 67 nt
Filed under: Olavius algarvensis
Lineage: Eukaryota; Metazoa; Annelida; Clitellata; Tubificida; Naididae
Source: RNAcentral